Molecule: long non-coding RNA, 479 nt
Filed under: Brassica napus (rape)
Lineage: Eukaryota; Viridiplantae; Streptophyta; Magnoliopsida; Brassicales; Brassicaceae
Description: long non-coding RNA (BNAP_LNC021717)
Source: RNAcentral
GGUUCAUUAAUGUUUUUACACUAAGAGGUCUGUGUUUCAAUUCCUGAAAAAUGUGAAAUUAUGUGAAUUAAAAGAGAAAAAGACUUACAAGAGAUCUGCAGCAUGACGUAAGGAGUACCAACAAAUGUAGAUCCUAUAGGGCGGCUCAGGUAAUGCAGUCAGACAUAAAUACUCAUACGACAGGUAAAAUUAUCGGCCGUAGAGUCAUAGUCGUAAUUAGGCCUGGGCAUUUCGGGUAUCGGUUCGGUUCGGUUCGGUUAUUUCGGGUUUCGGGUAGUUUGGAUAGGGGUCAGAGGAUCCAUUGAGUACUUGACAUUUUUUCGGUUCGGAUCGGUUCGGAUAGUUUCGGGUUCGGUUCGGUUCGGAUAGUAAAACUAGGAACCGGAAAAUACCCGAAAAAUAUUCGGUUCUCAUUUGGUUCCGGUUCGGAUUCGGAUAGUUCGGAUAGUUCGGGUAAUAUUACCCAAACUAUCCAAAAC